Long non-coding RNA from Lepidothrix coronata (blue-crowned manakin), 4205 nucleotides. RefSeq lists it as uncharacterized. Lineage: Eukaryota; Metazoa; Chordata; Aves; Passeriformes; Pipridae. The record is from RefSeq and is a predicted model, not a curated record. The transcript has 3 exons.
CUGGACCCCUCCCCGGCUCCCUCCGGCGCUGCCCCGGGCUCCCCUCACACGGACCCUCGAGGCUGUCCCCGACCCACCCUCACACCGCCCCCGGGGCUGCCCCGGGCUCCCCUCACACCGACCCUGGGGCUGCCCCGGGCUCUCCUCACACAGACCCUCGAGGCUGUCCCCGACCCACCCUCACACCGCCCUCGGGGCUGCCCCGGGCUCCCCUCACACCGAUCCCGGAGCUGUCCCCGACCCACCCUCACACCGACGCCGGGGCUUCCCCAGAGCAGCUUGGCGGUGCCAGGGCGAUGGUCCCUGCCCUCAGCGCCCCGGGGCUCCUGCCGGGGUGAGGAGGGAGGCAGGGGACGCCCAGGCGCUUCCCCCCCGGCGGUGGCCCUUGGUGGGCACUGGGGAACGGGAGCCGCCUGCCCGGCACCUGCCGUCGUGGGUGGCAGUGCCAGAGCGUGGCUCUCCUUCUCCUCCUCAGGAGCCCCCGGGACCCUCAGGGGGCUCGGCCAGCGCUGGGGUCCGGCGGAACAGCUGCCCUUGGCCCACCUUGACUUGCCCUAGCGCCAUGUGGGCUUUGCUGCCUGCAGCCCUGCCCGGAGGCAGAGCCACAGCAUCCAGCAGCUGAGAAGAGCAUAAUCCCUAGAAAUCCUUUAACAAAGCAAAUGGAAAAGCUUCUGUGUUUGAAAACAGCCCUGAGAAGAGCUGCAUUUUUGUCUUGGAGAGGCUGUUAUUUACAUGGAAAAAUAUUGUAUGUAUUGUGCAUGUUUCUAGUCUUCUUCCCACAGAAUCAUCCAAGGAAGUUCUUGCUCAACAACAUCCGUUCAAAUCACCACUUAACUGCACGAGUGUUCAUUCUGCAAACUUUUGGCUGCUUUGCUGUUUUGAUCCAAAAAAGUCAAAUGGCACUGGCACAUCUUCUGGCCUGUAUUAGAGAGUGUCCACUGCAGACCUGCCCAAGUGGGAUCAUGUGCAGCUCCAAGGGGUGGAGAGUCUGCACGUUGGACUUGCUCGUCCUCGUGCCUGAUUGUUGAAACUGCUGGGGAGCUGCUGCCUGUGGCACAGCACUGAGGCAGGAUGUUGAUCCACAUCUGUUCCCAGCUCAACGCUGCCUGGCACCGUCAGAGUGUCAAUGUUUUGCUUAACAGAUAAAUGCAAACCUCGGGAAAGCUGUAUCAGCUGUCACACUGAGAUGUUGUGGUGCAGCAAUGUCAGAGCGUCACAACAGCUCCUAAAGUUCCGAUUUGGUCUCUCCUGGAGAAAAUUGGUAUUUCAUGGAUCUCGAGGCCCUCACUGACUGUUUGCCUCAGAAUCCAGUUUGAAAUCGUACUCCUUGUUUUUCAAACCACACCCUCGCUCCUUGGACUUCUUUCCAGCUUGUCUCCUAGAGACGUGGAGCCCUCCCCUUUCCUCCCCUCUGUCUCUUCUCUCCUUCCAACAGGCUCCUCACUGCUGAGUCAAGAACUGUCUCCUCUCACCGUCUCCCAUCCAGAGCUGACUCCUUGUGCGUGUCCUGCAGUCAUUCUCCAUUUCAGUGCAAAGUUCCAUUCAAAUAAUGCUCUUUUCUCCUGGAAUUCAAUUCUUCUUUUCCAUCUGUUCUUACUGAAUGCAUAACUCUGGGUCAUACAAAGCACUCUGAGGCUCUGGAUGAGUUUCUUCUGUGGUUUGUGUAAGUCAUUGCGCAAGCUCCUGAGACCCAGCUGGUAAAAAUGGUAAUGUUUUUUAAGAAAUUAUUUGAAAUGUAAAGAUUCUGUUGCAGAGUUGUUUAAUAUGUAAUUGUUUAAUGUUUGAAUUCCCUCUAGUUCAUUCUUUGAAAGAAGAAUGGCAUUGCACAUGCUUAGAAUUUAAAGGCAAUCCCCUGUUAUGGUGGAUUUAACUCCUGACAUGUUCUUGAUAAAGGUCACUUUAUGAAUUUAGUUCAGUAUGUGAAGCCCCAUCCUGUAGUCCCUGUACAUGAAAGCUCUGCUGGAGAUUAUAAUCCCCAUCAUCUCCAUCAGCAGAUUCUGAUGGCAUUUAAUGUCAAAAUGAACAGAAGUGUCUAGAGGCAGUAGCAGUGCAGGCUGGAGGUCUUGAGGUUCCCCACAGAGAAUGCCACGAUGAUACAUAAUUUACUUGUAGCUUGCAAACAAUGUGCCUGUCUUGCCUCCCAGAAGCAUUUCCAUUGGAAGGAGCCAUUUCUGUCCACGAGCAGUACACGGACAUCGAUGCUCUCUGUGCAUUCCUAGAGCUGUUUGCUCCUUCCCUGGACACUGGUGUUCUCCAGGCUUUGCAGCACAGGUGUUGAAUCCCUUACAUGGCAGUUUCUCAGCUGAAAUUGCAGCUCCUCCAACCAGCCUUGUAAAAACAGAGAUCUACUGGUGAGUGACGCAAAGCCGGAUAAAGGGCACGGGAGUCAACGUGUGCCUUCAGAAUCCUGACAGAUGGAUCAGGGCUGUGUGCUGCAACAACCCUUGGAGAAGCUGAAUUCCUCCAGGGUGUUUCCUUUGGCAGCUCAUUCAUCAAGCGGAUAGAGGGUGAAUGUGUUCUUUGAAAACAUAACCAGUGGCAAGGGAUGAGGUAGCUGAUAUAAAUCCAGGGUGCAUCUCUCACUAAUUUCACCAGGUCUGGAAUGACAGAAACCAAGCUACGCUUCUAAAUAGACCAAGUGAAAUCUUAGCCUAGAUGGUGGAGUGGUUGAACACCGCUUAGGAGCAUAACUAGUCAGUGUGCACAAGUAGGGCACGAGAAAGGGCUGGGAAGGACCUGGAGGGGUCUGCUGGUUGUCACCUCUGUCCUACAGCAAGGCUGAAUGUGCCAAUUGCAGAUUAACGGGGUGAUUUGGGAAAUGCUGAAUAUAUUGACUGUUAGGGCCUUUUAGCUAUUUCCUUUGAAAUAGACCCUUGACAGGGAAAACCUCAGUGUUCGUUUUCUUAACAUUAUUACAUUAUCCAGGAAAGAGAAUGAAGCCAAGAAAAGCAGAAACCCUGUUACAUUUUCGAGUAUAGUGGUAAACUAUGCAGAUUGUAAACAGACUUUUUAUUUUCUAUAGGGCAUUUAAAAUAUAUUUUCCCUUCUCUUAAUCCUGGCAAGAAGCACUCUCUAAACUCAUAAGCUAUGAAUUCCCCCAUCUCCAGAAGGAAACAACUCUUUAUGACUGUUCUUGUUUGCCUUGCUUCCUUUUCCCCACCACAGUAAGUUUUGAGACCAGUGGCCAAAUUCAGCCAUGUGUAAUGGAGAGGAAUAAGCUCAAAGAAACUGUAUUCCAGCAACUUUCAUGAAAACAGGCAGCCAGAGAGUGGAGAGACUUUUAUUUAGAAGGAAUGGCUGAAGUGGGAGUUCAGCCCUUACUGGAAAAUCUAUGAAGUCAGUGCAAACUGUGGGGGAAAAAAAAGUCUUUGACCAAGGUCUGCACCUUCUUGAAUUAGUUUUAUUGUUCGUGAAAUAUUUUUGUUCCAUUCCUUUAUUCCCAAAUUCCUACUUUUGUAUGAAUCUGUACCUUUGCCUGCAUUAACUUUAAAGAUAGGUUCAGAAAUGCUGUCCUGAAAACACCAUUAUUUCCUGAACUGUGUUCUCCCCUUCAAAACCAGGUUUUUGUUAGACCAUGUAAUGCUGUUCUAUGUAACACAAAGGCCCUGUUUUUUUAUUAUCAGCUUGUAGGAUUUCAGGAAGCUGAAGAUAAAAGUGACCCUAAUUUUCGUAUUCACUCUUGGCUUUCUCUGUCUUGAACUGUUUGUGGAACAGGUUUAAUGGACGUUCUCUGCAUUUCUUGGUUCUUAAUGACAUACACAGCCUGAAUGUAACAGACUGGCUUUUCCUGAACUUCAGUCUUAACUAGAAUUUUCAAGACACAAACACAACACAAAGAUGUUUCCCAAAGAGGUUUAACAAUCACACGUUUGCUGCCUUUUAGAUUUUUGACAACACAAGCAAGAUGGCUGAGCUGGAAUAAAAUGGAGGCAAGCACAGGCUUACAUGCUCAAAGUCCUCAUAAUGAAGUGACUAAGGUACCUUAAAAAAAAUUCCUACUAAGUGCUGGCAGAAGCAAUCCAUAAACACUUUGCUACCCUGUCACUAGAAUGGAUUUAGAUGACACAAGAUGAAGACAGCCAUGCCCCUUUAUGCCAGAGCUUUCAGUGUAAGUGAUGCUACUUAGGUGAAGGGUGUUGAAUAAAGGGAGAAAACCUCCCGUGCAGAGGCCUUAACAAGCACCAGAGGGAAUUUACAAUCCUCUC